AGCCUGAUGCAGCGACGCCGCGUGCGGGAUGAAGGCCUUCGGGUUGUAAACCGCUUUCAGGAGGGACGAAAAUGACGGGACCUCCAGAAGAAGGUCCGGCCAACUACCUGCCAGCAGCCGCGGUAAUACGUAGGGGCCAAACGUUGUCCGGAUUUAUUGGGCGUAAAGGGCUCGUAGGCGGUUCAACUAGUCGGUCGUGAAAGCCCGGGGCUCAACCCCGGGACGCCGGUCGAAACUGUUGUGACUUGGGUCCGGUAGAGGUGAGUGGAAUUCUCGGUGUAGCGGUGGAAUGCGCUGAUAUCGAGAGGAACACCAGUGGCGAAGGCGGCUCACUGGGCCGGUACCGACGCUGAGGAGCGAAAGCAUGGGGAGCAAACAGGAUUAGAUACCCUGGUAGUCCAUGCCGUAAACGAUGAACACUAGGUGUGGGGGACUUAUUGACAUCUGCGGUGCCGCAGCUAACUUAUUAAUUGUUCCGCCUGGGGAGUACGGCCGGGAGGUUAAUCCUAGAAGGAUUCGACGGA
This 524-nucleotide ribosomal RNA is filed under the name uncultured bacterium. RNAcentral's name for it is "bacterial SSU rRNA". It matches the Rfam family "Bacterial small subunit ribosomal RNA", at positions 380 to 917 of the family's 1533-position model. The record is from RNAcentral.